This 468-nucleotide ribosomal RNA is filed under the name uncultured bacterium. RNAcentral describes it as "partial 16S ribosomal RNA". It matches the Rfam family "Bacterial small subunit ribosomal RNA", at positions 28 to 507 of the family's 1533-position model. The record is from RNAcentral.
GAUGAACGCUGGCGGCGUGCUUAACACAUGCAAGUCGAACGGUGAAGGCGGAGCUUGCUCUGCUGGAUCAGUGGCGAACGGGUGAGUAACACGUGAGAAAUCUGCCCCUGACUCUGGGAUAAGCGCUGGAAACGGCGUCUAAUACUGGAUACGAGCUGCGAAGGAAUCUUCAGCAGCUGGAAAGAACUUCGGUCAGGGAUGAGCUCGCGGCCUAUCAGCUUGUUGGUGAGGUAACGGCUCACCAAGGCGUCGACGGGUAGCCGGCCUGAGAGGGUGACCGGCCACACUGGGACUGAGACACGGCCCAGACUCCUACGGGAGGCAGCAGUGGGGAAUAUUGCACAGUGGGCGAAAGCCUGAUGCAGCAACGCCGCGUGAGGGACGACGGCCUUCGGGUUGUAAACCUCUUUUAGCAGGGAAGAAGCGAAAGUGACGGUACCUGCAGAAAAAGCGCCGGCUAACUACGUG